This 392-nucleotide ribosomal RNA is filed under the name Babesia motasi. RNAcentral's name for it is "SSU rRNA". It matches the Rfam family "Eukaryotic small subunit ribosomal RNA", at positions 438 to 902 of the family's 1831-position model. Lineage: Eukaryota; Apicomplexa; Aconoidasida; Piroplasmida; Babesiidae. The record is from RNAcentral.
AAAUACCCAAUCCUGACACAGGGAGGUAGUGACAAGAAAUAACAAUACAGGGCAUAUGUCUUGUAAUUGGAAUGAUGCCGACUUAAACCCUCGGCAGAGUACCAAUUGGAGGGCAAGUCUGGUGCCAGCAGCCGCGGUAAUUCCAGCUCCAAUAGCGUAUAUUAAACUUGUUGCAGUUAAAAAGCUCGUAGUUGAAUUUGAGCUUGCGCGAUUCCGUUAUUGGAGUAUUGCGCUUGCUUUUUUGUUACUUUGAGAAAAUUAGAGUGUUUCAAGCAGACUUUUGUCUUGAAUACUUCAGCAUGGAAUAAUAGAGUAGGACCUUGGUUCUAUUUUGUUGGUUUUUGAGCCUUGGUAAUGGUUAAUAGGAACGGUUGGGGGCAUUCGUAUUUAAA